CCUACGGGUGGCUGCAGUGGGGAAUCUUGCGCAAUGGGCGAAAGCCUGACGCAGCGACGCCGCGUGAGUGAUGAAGGCCUUCGGGUUGUAAAGCUCUGUGGGGAGAGACGAAUAAGUCGGCGCGAAUAGCUCCGAUGAUGACGGUAUCUCCUUAGCAAGCACCGGCUAACUCUGUGCCAGCAGCCGCGGUAAGACAGAGGGUGCAAACGUUGUUCGGAAUUACUGGGCGUAAAGCGUGUGUAGGCGGCUGCGCAAGUCGGAUGUGAAAGCCCCGG
RNAcentral lists this ribosomal RNA (275 nucleotides) under uncultured bacterium. RNAcentral describes it as "partial 16S ribosomal RNA". It matches the Rfam family "Bacterial small subunit ribosomal RNA", at positions 338 to 606 of the family's 1533-position model. The record is from RNAcentral.